RNAcentral lists this ribosomal RNA (400 nucleotides) under uncultured Synechococcus sp. RNAcentral describes it as "bacterial SSU rRNA". It matches the Rfam family "Bacterial small subunit ribosomal RNA", at positions 355 to 770 of the family's 1533-position model. The record is from RNAcentral. Lineage: Bacteria; Bacillati; Cyanobacteriota; Cyanophyceae; Synechococcales; Synechococcaceae.
UGGGGAAUUUUCCGCAAUGGGCGAAAGCCUGACGGAGCAACGCCGCGUGAGGGAUGAAGGCCUCUGGGCUGUAAACCUCUUUUAUCAAGGAAGAAGAUCUGACGGUACUUGAUGAAUAAGCCACGGCUAAUUCCGUGCCAGCAGCCGCGGUAAUACGGGAGUGGCAAGCGUUAUCCGGAAUUAUUGGGCGUAAAGCGUCCGCAGGCGGCCCUUCAAGUCUGCUGUUAAAAAGUGGAGCUUAACUCCAUCAUGGCAGUGGAAACUGUUGGGCUUGAGUGUGGUAGGGGCAGAGGGAAUUCCCGGUGUAGCGGUGAAAUGCGUAGAUAUCGGGAAGAACACCAGUGGCGAAGGCGCUCUGCUGGGCCAUCACUGACGCUCAUGGACGAAAGCCAGGGGAGCG